GGGUACGCCGCAAGUGAAACUCAAAGGAAUUGACGGGGGCCCGCACAAGCAGUGGAGUAUGUGUUUAUUCGAAGCACGCGAAGAACCUUACCAGGUCUUGACAUCGUAUGCAUAGUCUAGAGAUAGAUGAAAUCCCUUCGGGGACAUAUAGACAGGUGGUGCAUGGUUGUCGUCAGCUCGUGUCGUGAGAUGUUGGGUUAAGUCCCGCAACGAGCGCAACCCUUACCUUUAGUUGCUACGCAAGAGCACUCUAAAGGGACUGCCGUUGACAAAACGGAGGAAGGUGGGGAUGACGUCAAAUCAUCAUGCCCCUCAUGACCUGGGCUACACACGUACUACAAUGGCAAUCAACAAAGAGCAGCGAGACAGUGAUGUGGAGCGAAUCUCAAAAAAUUGUCCCAGUUCAGAUUGCAGGCUGCAACUCGCCUGCAUGAAGUCGGAAUUGCUAGUAAUCGCGGAUCAGCAUGCCGCGGUGAAUACGUUCCCGGGCCUUGUACACACCGCCCGUCACACCAUGGGAGUCGGUAACACCCGAAGUCGGUAGUCUAACAGCAAUGAGGACGCCGCCGAAGGUGGGAUUGAUGACUGGGGUG
RNAcentral lists this ribosomal RNA (593 nucleotides) under uncultured rumen bacterium. RNAcentral's name for it is "bacterial SSU rRNA". It matches the Rfam family "Bacterial small subunit ribosomal RNA", at positions 878 to 1482 of the family's 1533-position model. The record is from RNAcentral.